This 1276-nucleotide ribosomal RNA is filed under the name Micrococcus luteus. RNAcentral describes it as "bacterial SSU rRNA". It matches the Rfam family "Bacterial small subunit ribosomal RNA", at positions 25 to 1312 of the family's 1533-position model. The record is from RNAcentral. Lineage: Bacteria; Bacillati; Actinomycetota; Actinomycetes; Micrococcales; Micrococcaceae.
CAGGAUGCACGCUGGCGGCGUGCUUAACACAUGCAAGUCGAACGAUGAAGCCCAGCUUGCUGGGUGGAUUAGUGGCGAACGGGUGAGUAACACGUGAGUAACCUGCCCUUAACUCUGGGAUAAGCCUGGGAAACUAGGUCUAAUACCGGAUAGGAGCGCCUACCGCAUGGUGGGUGUUGGAAAGAUUUAUCGGUUUUGGAUGGACUCGCGGCCUAUCAGCUUGUUGGUGAGGUAAUGGCUCACCAAGGCGACGACGGGUAGCCGGCCUGAGAGGGUGACCGGCCACACUGGGACUGAGACACGGCCCAGACUCCUACGGGAGGCAGCAGUGGGGAAUAUUGCACAAUGGGCGAAAGCCUGAUGCAGCGACGCCGCGUGAGGGAUGACGGCCUUCGGGUUGUAAACCUCUUUCAGUAGGGAAGAAGCGAAAGUGACGGUACCUGCAGAAGAAGCACCGGCUAACUACGUGCCAGCAGCCGCGGUAAUACGUAGGGUGCGAGCGUUAUCCGGAAUUAUUGGGCGUAAAGAGCUCGUAGGCGGUUUGUCGCGUCUGUCGUGAAAGUCCGGGGCUUAACCCCGGAUCUGCGGUGGGUACGGGCAGACUAGAGUGCAGUAGGGGAGACUGGAAUUCCUGGUGUAGCGGUGGAAUGCGCAGAUAUCAGGAGGAACACCGAUGGCGAAGGCAGGUCUCUGGGCUGUAACUGACGCUGAGGAGCGAAAGCAUGGGGAGCGAACAGGAUUAGAUACCCUGGUAGUCCAUGCCGUAAACGUUGGGCACUAGGUGUGGGGACCAUUCCACGGUUUCCGCGCCGCAGCUAACGCAUUAAGUGCCCCGCCUGGGGAGUACGGCCGCAAGGCUAAAACUCAAAGGAAUUGACGGGGGCCCGCACAAGCGGCGGAGCAUGCGGAUUAAUUCGAUGCAACGCGAAGAACCUUACCAAGGCUUGACAUGUUCUCGAUCGCCGUAGAGAUACGAUUUCCCCUUUGGGGCGGGUUCACAGGUGGUGCAUGGUUGUCGUCAGCUCGUGUCGUGAGAUGUUGGGUUAAGUCGGGCAACGAGCGCAACCCACGUUCCAUGUUGCAAGCACGCAACGCUGGGUACUCAUGGGAGACUGCAGGGCUCAACGCGGAGCAGGGCGAGGACGACGUCAAACCAGCAUGCAACUCAUGUCGAGCGCUUCAGGCAUGCCACAAUGAGCGGUACACGGCCUCGCGAAACUGCCAGCUGGAGCUAAUCCGACGCCGCCGGACUCAGUUCGGUAUGGGGUCUGCAACU